Molecule: long non-coding RNA, 6871 nt
Organism: Mizuhopecten yessoensis (Yesso scallop)
Lineage: Eukaryota; Metazoa; Mollusca; Bivalvia; Pectinida; Pectinidae
Exons: 3
Source: RefSeq, a predicted model, not a curated record
AGUCACUUAUCUCUCUCACAGAAAAUUACAGCCCUGGAUAAUUGGAUGAGAAACAUGAUUGGUAAAAUGGACUUCAGCAUGUUAGAGAUGAAGUUAUUCAUGUGUAAGAAACUGUGGGAGUGCAAUGUUGACCACGACACCAACAAAAUCUCUAUAGACCAGCUAUGUGUGGAGCUUAGGGCGGGAGGGGUCAGUCUAACACACGAGACAGAGGUCCGAGACAAACUCUCACAUCUGGAUGCACUUGACCUCCUCGACUUCCUCACCUACAUCCCUCUUUUUAUCAUGAUACACCAGUCUGUUGUGGACAACCCUCUAGACGAUACUCGCAACAAGUAAAUCACUCUAGAUAACAAAUUCAUAAGCUUUCAUCGGACACUAAAAUAGCAUUAAAAUUUAACACAUGACAAAUGAAGGUCACCUACCACUAGGUCACUAGUAAGAGUCACCUGUCACUUGGUAACUAGCGUGAGUCAUCUGCCACUCAUGGACAAGGGUGGGCCACCUGCCACUUGGGAACUAGUGAAAGUCACCUGUCACGUAGGGACUAGUGAAAGUCACCUGCCACUCACGGACAAGUGUGGGUCACCUACCACUCUGAAUCUUGUGUGGUUACCAGCUACUCGGGAACUAGCAAUUCACCGGCCUCUGGGUAACUAGCGAGAGUCACCUGCCACUCAAGGAUAGGUGUGGGUCACCUACCACUCAUGGACAAGUGAGAGUCAUCUGCCACUCAUGGAGAGGUGUGGGCCAUCUGCCACAAGUGUAAGUUACCUGUCACUCAGGAUCUAGUGUGGGUCACCUGCCACUUGGGAACAAGUAAGAAUCACCUGCCUCUUGGGAACUAGUGAGUCACCUGCUACUCAGGGAUAAGUGAGAGUCACUUGCCACUCAGGGACAAGUGUGGGUCACCUGCCACUCAGGGACAAGUGUGGGUCACCUGCCACUCAGGGAUAGGUGAGAGUCACUUGUCACCCAGGGACAAGUGUGGGUCACCUGCCAUUCAGGGAUAAGUGAGAGUCACUUGCCACGCAGGGACAAGUGUGGGUCAUCUGCCACUUGGGAACAAGUAAGAAUCACCUGCCUCUUGGGAACUAGUGAGUCACCUGCCACUCAGGGACAAGUGAGAGUCACUUGCCAAGCAGGGACAAGUGUGGGUCACCUGCCUCUCGGGAAGUAGUGAGGGUCACGUACCACUAGGGAACUAGUGCAAGUCACCUGCUACUCAGGGAUAAGUAAGAGUCAUCUGCCACUAGGGAACUAGUGCGAGUCACCUGCUACUCAGGGACAAGUGUGGGUCAUCUGCCACUUGGGAAAUAGUGAAACAGUUGAGGGUGGCAGUAAUUAGGUACUCAGGACAAGUGUUUGGAAGCUUACAUUCAGGAGCAGAAAUGGUCCUCUGGUACAUUCAGCAAGACAUCGCAGUCUAUGUUUGAAUUAUGAGAUGAUCUGCUUUAAGAACUGAACAAAUUAAAGCUUCAGAUCUUUGUGUAUAGUGUUGUAGUCAAUGGAUAUUGUCACUACCUUAAUUUGUGAUUGUGCUAAAGACAGAACACAAUUACACUCUAGCAUGGUGGGCUGCAAUUAACCAUGAAAAUGUUGUUUAAAGUGAUGGAGCUUGUCCACUGGUCACAUGGGAUCCUUGAGGAAGAUAACUGGCUACCGUCAGCCAAGUGCCCUAGACAGUAUCCAAGCAAGUUUACAUAGUCAGGGCAAUGUUGUUAGUUUAACAAGUCUUGCAACGAGACCAACUUUUAAGAGAAUAUCUUUAAGGAUGAAGAAACCUGUGCUGUGGAAGUAUAGAGAUAGAAUCAUUCAUGUUUAAUUAAUGCAGCUUAGGUCAAGUGGUCAAAGUAUCGCAUUUAGAUGGGUACAGAACCAAUGUGUAGACAAUCAGUGCUUGUGAGAAAAUUGGUUGAUUUAAAUUUGAUUGUAAUAUAAAUACAGAUGUUUAUUAAUUAACCACAGUUCCAUUUUAUAAAAGGAUGGUAGUUGAUAGUAGUGUGAUGAAAUGUACAAUACCUGGUAGAUGACCAGUAUCAGAAUGCAUGUAGUUUAUAAGCCGUGAUAUUUUAUCAAUAAUCUGUGAUAUGUACCUGGUAGAUUCCUGGUAGUUUUCAUUGAAUCCUGUAUGAGGUGAAAGUUGAUUGAAUGUAGACUGAAUAAGUUUGAAAUAUUAUAGUUGGCUUGACUCCAAGUGUGUUUGAAACACAUCUAUUUCUAUGAGAGCAAUGUGAACAUUCACCAGUUGUGAAAUGAGAUUUUGUAGUAAUCUCUGGUGAAAGCAAUAUACAUCCAUGGGACCAACACAUGAACUGUCUGGUAUCACUAUGAGUAAUAUAUACAAUCCCGGUUGAGUUCCAAUGGACAUUUACACAUUAGUCGUCUCCCUUUGUCAGUUCCUGCAAACUAUCAUAUGAAUUGUAUGUAGACCUCUGAGCAGUAAAUGUUUGUGUAGUUAAGACAUAUUGCUUAAUCUUCUUAGGGUUUCUUUAUUUCAACCAUUUCAUACAGGAAAAUUGUUUUGUAUUCAUUUAGCUGUCUUUGUAAACAGUAGUUUCAAACAAUGUCAGACAGAUAAACUUACAUGACCACAAUCCUUCUCCAAGGAGAUAUUCUUACAUUCACAUAUAUAUACAUUUUUGAAUAAAUUUGUAUGUUCAUACAGUACCAAAAUCUUGUUUUAUUGCAUUCCCUCAAAACUAUUACUGGUGGUUAUCUCCGUAACUUAAUUCUGUACAAAAAAAAAAAAUCCUCGCAUGAAUUUUCUAGGAAUUUUGAGUGAAAAAAUUAGCAGAUAAAAACAUUAGAAAGGGAAACAUCUGAAACGAGGAUAACUUGUCAGUGUAAGAGUGUGACUUAAGGUAGGACAGUCAAACAGUUGUCAAACCGUUCAUGUCUGCUGUUGUGAGUGUUUGUCCAGAAUUGUGACCUGUAGCUAGAAUAUAGAGACACAGUUUUACAAGCUUGUAAGGCCUCUGUUGUAGGGUAAAUGGUUUGAUUACCUUGUACAUGGUGACAUAGCUUCACAAAGACAACAAACACACACAAAUUGUUAUGAUGUGAAGCCAGACUUUAUUGCCUAAAUACAGCAGGAUGGUGCGUUAGUCAGCACCAUGUAUGGUUAUGUACAGGAUGGGUACAACAGAUAACUAUACAGAUACUGUACACAGGUGGAGGUCACAAUACACAGACAUGGAGCAAACCUAGAACACCGUAGCACUUUAUGGCCCAACGCCCAGUCAAUUUGGUGUACUAGUGUAACAUAGAGAACACUCUGCAUAAUGCUGACUUUACCACUUCAAUACAGAAACAUAGAUAGAUACAUUCAAAUUUAUUAUGCUUAAUUUUCUGUCAAAUAGUUUCAUGUCACUUGAGCUUUUCCUUUAAUUCAAAAAAGGAAAGGACAUAGAAGAGAACCGCCGCUUACAAAACUUCAAAACUGGUUCAUAAUAUUGAGAAAAAAACGCUUAUUAAAUUUUAAAUAACGACAUGAACAGCAAAUCGUUUUUGUUAGGAAAAGAAAGGUAGACUUUUCUCAGAUGGUUUUACAUGUAACAAUUAGAGACUGGUUAAGUGAAGAACAUACAAGAAGCUCUAUAAAUAUGCGUAUUUACAAUGACACAGUGCCCAGCACACUAGACAGCACCUUGUAACAUACAUCACAUCUGUAUCUCUUUGGUAAUGGAUACAUACAGAACUUUUUAAUUUACACAGGGCCUUGACAGUUCCAUCCAGUCUUGUAUAAUAAAGGAAAAUAUUUGUAGUUGGAAAUUUGAUGUUAAAAUACAAGCCCCUGUAUUAAAUGAUAAUUGUCAGGAGGAUCAACUGUUACCAACCAUUUCCCUUCCAUUGUUAUGCUGUGACAGAUAUUAAAGAUUCAAACAGGGCUGAAAUGCUUUACUUUUAGCUAAGGGGAGACAACUGUAGUUGUAAGUUGUAUCGCACAGAAAUCGUGAAGACACCUUCAUCCCAGACUGUUAAAUUUGAUCUUGAUAAUUCUCUAGUUUAAAUCUACUUCAUAUAUGUCUAUAGUUCUGUCAAUUAUAUCUUAAAGAUAUAUAAUAUAUAAUAGUUAACUCCUUCUUCAAAAUGUGAAUAAUUGUACUAAAAAUCCCAUAACAGUUCAUAAUAUCCGACGCCCCUGUUGUAACUUAUGUUGGCUUCAUUGUUUUAUUUCUUAUUUAAAGCUCAAGUCUUUGGAAAUGGAUACCUAGAUGGUCAUGUUUCAGCACAGAUAAUGAAGUUUAAGUAGCAUAAGUGAACCACUUUGGAUAUAUCGUGUUGUAAUAACGGAAUGAAACCUGAACUAUAAAGGAACACAGAAUAGGGAAAUAAAAGGGGACGCAAUACAUAUCUGACUACACAAUGUUGGAAAUAGUAAUAUCAACAGUUGUAUGUAACACUGUAUGAUCCUUCCCCCCCCCUAACACUGUAUGAUCCUUCCACCCCUACACUGUAUGAUCCUUCCCCCCCUAACACUGUAUGAUCCUUCCACCCCUAACACUGUAUGAUCCUUCCCCCCCCUAACACUGUAUGAUCCUUCCCCCCCUAACACUGUAUGAUCCUUCUACCCCUACACUGUAUGAUCCUUCCCCCCCUAACACUGUAUGAUCCUUCCACCCCUAACACUGUAUGAUCCUUCCACCCCUACGGUGUUACAAGUAAAUCCAGAUCACUGAGGGCCUGUGAGUGACAGGAAGGAUUAACCUUGUAGAUAAUAGCAAGAAUGAAAUGUUGUAUAUAUAUCGCCACACAUGCAUAACAUACAAAAAUCACUAAGAGAGAUGUAUCAGGCACGCUACAAUUGUAAUACACUGUAAACUUGGUUAAAUAGAGGCUCUGAUGUGUAACGUACUUGCCAUCCCUUAGUGGACAUCAUGGACUGUUCCUCCAUUGAUAUUGGCCAGCCAAAUAUAAUCUGUAGGGAAUGGCAGAUCAUAAAUAGUAAGUAACAAAAUAAUGAGAAACCAGAAACCAUAGUAGCAAUAAUUAAUUAAUGUGAUGUACAAGUAGGCAAUGUACACCGAUUUAUACUUCAUACCACUCACAACAUUCAUUCUCAAAAUAUACAUAUGUCCAAAUAUUGAUUCAAGUUGGUUCUAUCAUUGUAAAUCUGUAGAAUACACAUCAUAUAUUACCUACCAGGUAUCGGUACCAUACAUAUAUAUAUGUGUUCUGUAGUUACAGUAAAAAGUCCUGUUGUUUUCUCCGUGUAUAAAACUACAGAGUAUAUUAAAUGGUUACAGAUAAACUCCAGUACAUACAGUCAGCCUAGGCCAAUACAUAUUGAUCCCUCAACAUACACACAUUAUUUACUGUAUAUUUAUAAGGGUUGAAAAUAGAAGAUUAUUCGUAAAAAUACUGUGUAGAUUUUAUAGCCUAAUAAGGGUGCAGAGUACAUGUCAUCCUCAAUUAAGUCUUUUCUAGAUUCUUCCGUUAUUAAUAUGGUAUUACAGUCGGUAUUAAUUACUGGUAUGCCGAAAAUUCUCGAUUUAAGAUUAUUUUACGGAUAAAAAAGAAAUAAAGGAACAUUGAGCUUAUAAUCUAAGCAGGAGAAUGUUUACUGGUGAAAAUAGCACCCUUACUAGGAUAUAUUGACCACUCUGGCCUGUGUGAUGAUCUGGUUAUGUAGUACCGGGAUAGACAAUCACCACAACAAACCCUCACUUACACAAUAUUGCACGAAUCUUUACAUAUGUCUACAUGCACUCUUAUCUAUUUACAAUCGUUAAUACGGUAAUAAAGAUGAAAUUACAAAAACUGGAGGAAAUACUUUUCCAACACGCAUACCUGAAUUUUUCUCCUACAACUGACACUGAAAAUUUUGUGUCAAAUGGAGGUGGCUUUGCAUGAUAUAAAGAAAUAAUAAAUGGAGGUAAAUACUUUGGAUUCCCACAGCAUGAUUCCUCAAUGUUGUUCUUGAAUAGACCAUAAAAAAUUUGUUUCCAAAACAAUUACAAUGACUACUACAAACAUUAAUUGACGUUAAACAAUGCUUGUAUUUGUCAGAGGUUGAUCUCAUGCUGAAAUGAGAAUCUAUGAAAUUUCAGGAAACGGGAAGACCAAGAUCUCACCAGCAGCUUACACCAAGUCACGUGAAUGUACCACAGAGCAGAAAUGCCUUGUGAAAGUGUGACAUACAACAAAAAAUUCUGAGAUAUAUCAAAAAACCUUGUACCGUUAUUUUUUAAGAUGGUUUUCAAACUGAGCCCGUCUGCCUAGGACAAUGAAAUUUCUAACUCAGAAACAUCUAAACAUGUUUAUCUCCCCUACACAACGGGACAGUUAAUGGUCUGGCUCCAUCACUAGUACUUUUAUGACCAAAUCACCAGAAAUGUUUGUUGAGACGUGUACAUGUAUUUCAAUAGAUAUAUCUCCUUUUGUGUACAGAAAUCCAGGCCAGUGACUAGAGACAAGCAUGCAAGACACUUGUCAUUUCAAUUAUUUCCCCUGGGGUACAGGCAAGUCAUUUCCCCUGGGGUACAGGUAAGUCAUUCCAGACAAGUCUUGGACACACUUAUCAUUACUUAUACCGAGCUAUUUCCCCUUGUAUACACUGCCCAGUCACUAGAGGCACUUUGUUACUUGGAGUAACUUCCCUUGGAAUUAUCUCCCCUUAGAUAUUUUCUUCUGCACAUGGAUGAUGAGGAGACUGUGUUAAAUUUUUCGUUACCAAUACAGAGCUAUCUCCUGUCAGUGUAGUACAACAAGUUCAGUGAGAUGUUUCAGAGAGUUGUUUGUCAUAAAUGGUUCAGUUAUUUUUCUGGUGUACUCUGGCCAGUAACUAAACACAAGUCUGGGAGACACUUGUCAGUACUUGUACAGAGUUAUUUCCCCUGAUGUUCUCUGGCCAGUAACUAAACACAAG